Molecule: ribosomal RNA, 411 nt
Filed under: uncultured bacterium
Lineage: Bacteria
Description: bacterial SSU rRNA
Rfam family: Bacterial small subunit ribosomal RNA
Source: RNAcentral
UAUUGGUCAAUGGCCGGAAGGCUGAACCAGCCAAGCCGCGUGAGGGAAUAAGGCCCUACGGGUCGUAAACCUCUUUUGUCAGGGAGCAAGGCCGUCCACGUGCGGGCGGAAGGAGAGUACCCGAAGAAAAAGCAUCGGCUAACUACGUGCCAGCAGCCGCGGUAAUACGGAGGAUGCGAGCGUUAUCCGGAUUUAUUGGGUUUAAAGGGUGCGUGGGCGGCCUGCCAAGUCAGCGGUAAAAUUGCGGGGCUCAAGCCCGUAGAGCCGUUGAAACUGACGGGCUCGGGUGGGCGAGAAGUAUGCGGAAUGCGUGGUGUAGCGGUGAAAUGCAUAGAUAUCACGCAGAACCCCGAUUGCGAAGGCAGCAUACCGGCGCCCUACUGACGCUGAGGCACGAAAGUGCGGGGAUCA